CCUACGGGUGGCAGCAGUGAGGAAUAUUGGUCAAUGGACGAGAGUCUGAACCAGCCAAGUAGCGUGAAGGAUGACUGCCCUAUGGGUUGUAAACUUCUUUUAUAUGGGAAUAAAAUGUUCCACGUGUGGGAUUUUGUAUGUACCAUAUGAAUAAGGAUCGGCUAACUCCGUGCCAGCAGCCGCGGUAAUACGGAGGAUCCGAGCGUUAUCCGGAUUUAUUGGGUUUAAAGGGAGCGUAGGUGGAUUGUUAAGUCAGUUGUGAAAGUUUGCGGCUCAACCGUAAAAUUGCAGGUGAAACUGGCAGUCUUGAGUACAGUAGAGGUGGGCGGAAUUCGUGGUGUAGCGGUGAAAUGCUUAGAUAUCACGAAGAACUCCGAUUGCGAAGGCAGUUCACUGGACUGCAACUGACACUGAGGCUCGAAAGUGUGGGUAUCAAACAGGAUUAGAUACCCUUGUAGUC
RNAcentral lists this ribosomal RNA (460 nucleotides) under uncultured bacterium. Its description in RNAcentral is "partial 16S ribosomal RNA". It matches the Rfam family "Bacterial small subunit ribosomal RNA", at positions 338 to 795 of the family's 1533-position model. The record is from RNAcentral.